Molecule: unclassified non-coding RNA, 1974 nt
Filed under: Hevea brasiliensis (rubber tree)
Lineage: Eukaryota; Viridiplantae; Streptophyta; Magnoliopsida; Malpighiales; Euphorbiaceae
Source: RNAcentral
GGAAGAGGUUAGAACUUUCAACUGCCAAUUAGAGACUGACAUCGAUGAAAAAAAUAAAGAAACUUGUUUGGUGACUCCUACCUUUCAGAUAAAACAUGUUUGGAAUAAGCAAAUUUCUGCAUGCAGUGAUCUAUUUUAGUGAAACUGUUCUAAAUGGACGAAAUGAAAUUUUUGGCUUCAAAUUACUGAAUUGGAGCACUAAAUUUUUCAUGGAGGAGCAAUGGGCUCAUGAAUGAUGAUUGUAAUAGUUGCCAUUUGCAAGUAGGUUCCUACUACUUUGUUUCUGGACACAAAGAAAUUAUGUUAAGAUUAGCGAUAACUUCCUAAGUUUGAUAAAAAAGGGUUUGUCAUGGAUCUAUUUGCCUGAAAGCACUGGAAGCACUUCAUGACUUUUGUGUGUUAAUGUUUUACACUCGUUUAAGGCCAUUCAGACCUAAAAUAAAUGUUUUCUUUUUUUUUGGUUAACACUGUCAUGGAGAUGGAGGGCAAAUUAACCUGUGUGCACUCUGGUGUGUAAGCUCUCUACUUUUACAUGGUAUCAUAUCGCAAUGACUCUGGCUUUUAUUGCCUUUUUCAAAGUUAGUAGAUGACUUCUAUAAUGGAGGAAUUGGACACUAGUUGAUUUGUGGUGUUUCUACUUUUUAUCUUCAAGAAAUUUUUUUAUUUAUUUGUGCAUUUUGUUGGGGUCACUUAUACUUACAAGGAUUUGAGCUUCCUAUGUACUACGAGAUUUGGGUGCUUUUAUAGUUUGUUGUAGUCGUUUUCAAAUGUCAAAGCUAAUCUUUUUUAAUGCAUUGAAUUAUAUUCAUCAUAAAAAUAAUAAAAUUUUGAUAGCUCAGUUUUUUUUCGUUGGGACAGCAUGGUCAUGUGCUUGUGGGAUAUAUAGAAUACCAUAAAUACUGAAGCAAUAAAUAGUGAAGGCACAAAUAGCAUAAAAUAUUGCAUCAAGUUGUAGAUGGAUACUCUGGAAAGAAGUCAUUUGGUGAAAUCACACAAUUUAGUUACUAAAGCUAGUGUCAAGGAAAAUUGCAUUUCUCAUUGUAGUUAAAACGCUCAAGAAAGAGCUUAGGGGGCUCAUCUCAAAUCCUUUUGCAACCAGAAAUAUGAUUGAUUUAUCUUUAUUAUUAUUUUUCAAGGGAUGGGGAUCUUAUGAUACUGACUCGCAACCACUUAACAACUAAUGAAACGGUAAUCUAUUGAUUAAUAUUGGAAUGUUAUUGUAAAUUUCUUAUAGCUUACAUCAUAUACUGGCUAGUUUGGGAAGAGUUAUUUUUGCUCACUGCUGCCCUCUAAAGAUUCUUUAGUGUAUUGGUGUUAUCUUUCUUAAGUCUAUUUCUGCACCUCUAUGCUGCUGGACGAGGCUCUUCAUAUCAAAUAAUGCCCGUUAAUGAUUUGAAAGUUGUUUCUGACAAUUUCUGGGCUACAUUCUGUUCAUGUAGACUAUUAGAAUAUAAAUAUAUAUAAUCACGGUAAAUUUUGCAGGCUGCAAAAGAGUUUGAGUCUGAGCUUAAGAAGGAGCCCGAUUCACUAUCGGAGAGCCCAGAAGAAAAACCUACAGCAGUCGGUGAAGAGAAGAAACAAGAUGUUGAAGUCUCAAGCUCAAAGGAGAGUGUAUGAGACUGUAGAAAUAUGCAGUUGAUGCAAUUUUCUUUUGUUAUGUAAUUCCUAUGCGUUUAGAUCAUAUUUUUCACGCAGCAUAGAUCAGUGAGAAAUCGCAAUUUGAACUGGUAAGAUGGUCAUAUGCUACAAUUGAACAAGUAGGCAGGAGUCUGAUAAACUUUAGUAGGGAAGUUAGCAAUUUUCCAUCUCGUUUCAAACAUGUUAUCUAUUAAGAAUUCUGCAAAUAUAUUGAACUGCUUGUUGCUUUGCAAGUCAUCAAGUGUUUCACAUAUGUCAUUCACUGUCCAUUACUAAUCUAAGCUUAAGGAUGAAUUUGCCUGGCCUUGACUUGAUCAUUGGCUAAAGGCAUAUUAU